UACGUAGGGGGCAAGCGUUGUCCGGAUUUAUUGGGCGUAAAGAGCGUGUAGGCGGCUAGGUAGGUCCGUUGUGAAAACUCGAGGCUCAACCUCGAGACGUCGAUGGAAACCAUCUAGCUAGAGUCCGGAAGAGGAGAGUGGAAUUCCUGGUGUAGCGGUGAAAUGCGUAGAGAUCAGGAAGAACACCGGUGGCGAAAGCGCUCUGCUAGGCCGCAACUGACACUGAGGGACGAAAGCUAGGGGAGCGAAUGGG
This 253-nucleotide ribosomal RNA is filed under the name uncultured bacterium. RNAcentral's name for it is "partial 16S ribosomal RNA". It matches the Rfam family "Bacterial small subunit ribosomal RNA", at positions 524 to 776 of the family's 1533-position model. The record is from RNAcentral.